GGGUCGCCCGGCGACACUGACGCGCAGCCUGCAACCAGAAAAGUGGCAAGAAUAAUACCAACAGAGUAUUGACCUCGGUGAAAGAAUAGUGUACCCGCCCAGAAGGACCCCUUCUUAUCAGUUGGGUUCAAAUUCAUAAGAAAACAUCUAGCAGCUAUGCUAUAGGAAGCAGAGGCUGCAUUUCGGAGAAAACCGCAAAUGAGCUCCUGAACCACAAACAGCUACAGUUCCUGCCGUCAGAGUCAACCGUUAUAAGAAGUUAUAAAAGACUUCUAUCUAUUUCUACCACUGGGCUGAUAGACCACCUGCACCUCGGAUCUGAACGACACAGACAGCUAUAUCCCCAUUUGCAUCCACUCUGGCCAAUCAGGCUCCACAAUGACCCAUCAAAACACAGACCGCUGGCCAGUCAGGACAAUGCUAUUUUUGGUCCACCAGACUGUGCUAAUUUGGGUACCUCAUUUACCUUAAGAUGGACCAGCCACUGGGGUGGGAACUUGCUCCUUAAAAGGCACACUUUCUGAUCCUCUGGAGACUGUUUCCCUGUUUACAAACUGCUCACCUGAAGAAAGUCUCUCCUUUUCCCCAACCCCAUAUUGGGAACUCCUGUUGGCCUUAGAUUGGUGGCAGCUAACUUUUGUUGGCAAGAGAUUGACUACCAGCAUGACAGCGAUGAGGAGCUGGGCUGAUCCACUUCCUAGUGCACCUGAUGAAAAUUAUUAUAACACAAGCCAACAACAAACAACCAUUUAAAGUUUUGGAAAUCAUCCUAAGAGAAAA
This is a long non-coding RNA of Myotis brandtii (Brandt's bat), 780 nucleotides long. RefSeq lists it as uncharacterized. The transcript has 2 exons. NCBI's taxonomy places the organism in Eukaryota, Metazoa, Chordata, Mammalia, Chiroptera, Vespertilionidae. The record is from RefSeq and is a predicted model, not a curated record.